This 468-nucleotide ribosomal RNA is filed under the name uncultured bacterium. RNAcentral's name for it is "partial 16S ribosomal RNA". It matches the Rfam family "Bacterial small subunit ribosomal RNA", at positions 28 to 507 of the family's 1533-position model. The record is from RNAcentral.
GACGAACGCUGGCGGCGUGCUUAACACAUGCAAGUCGAACGGAAAGGCCCUGCUUUUGUGGGGUGCUCGAGUGGCGAACGGGUGAGUAACACGUGAGUAACCUGCCCUUGACUUUGGGAUAACUUCAGGAAACUGGGGCUAAUACCGGAUAGGAGCUCCUGCUGCAUGGUGGGGGUUGGAAAGUUUCGGCGGUUGUGGAUGGACUCGCGGCUUAUCCGCUUGUUGGUGGGGUAGUGGCUUACCAAGGCUUUGACGGGUAGCCGGCCUGAGAGGGUGACCGGCCACAUUGGUACUGAGAGACGGCCCAGACUCCUACGGGAGGCAGCAGUGGGGAAUAUUGCACAAUGGGCGGAAGCCUGAUGCAGCAACGCCGCGUGCGGGAUGACGGCCUUCGGGUUGUAAACCGCUUUCGCCGGUGACGAAGCGUGAGUGACGGUAAUGGGUAAAGAAGCACCGGCUAACUACGUG